Molecule: unclassified non-coding RNA, 258 nt
Filed under: uncultured fungus
Lineage: Eukaryota; Fungi
Description: sequence contains 18S rRNA gene, ITS1, 5.8S rRNA gene
Rfam family: Eukaryotic small subunit ribosomal RNA (bases 1-52)
Source: RNAcentral
AAGUAAAAGUCGUAACAAGGUUUCCGUAGGUGAACCUGCGGAAGGAUCAUUCACAGUGAGUGUUUUAUGGCACUCUUUAAAAAUCCAUAUCCACCUUGUGUGCAAUGUUUGUUGGGAGAGAGGCAACUCUUUCCCUUCACAAAUAUCAACCUAUAUCUUUAACAACAUUCGUCUGAUAACAUAUUAUGAAUAUACUUAAAUCAAAAUAUAACUUUCAACAACGGAUCUCUUGGCUCUCGCAUCGAUGAAGAACGCAGC